UUUAACUGAGCGUUCAGUUACUGGACGUAGACCCGAAACCGGGCGACCUACCCAUGAGCAGGAUGAAGCGAAAGUAAAAGUUCGUGGAGGUCCGAACCCACGAGCGUUGAAAAGCUCGGGGAUGACUGGUGGGUAGCGGUGAAAUUCCAAUCGAGCCCGGAGAUAGCUGGUUCUCCCCGAAAUAGCUUUAGGGCUAGCCGCAAGGUGAGAGAUACGGAGGUAGAGCACUGAAUGUCCUAGGGGGUAUUGCACCUACCGAAGACUAUCAAACUCCGAAUGCCGGCAUCUUAUACUUGGGAGUCAGACUGUGGGUGAUAAGAUUCAUAG
RNAcentral lists this ribosomal RNA (327 nucleotides) under Clostridioides difficile. RNAcentral describes it as "bacterial LSU rRNA". It matches the Rfam family "Bacterial large subunit ribosomal RNA", at positions 683 to 1010 of the family's 2925-position model. The record is from RNAcentral. Lineage: Bacteria; Bacillati; Bacillota; Clostridia; Peptostreptococcales; Peptostreptococcaceae.